This 305-nucleotide ribosomal RNA is filed under the name uncultured bacterium. RNAcentral's name for it is "bacterial SSU rRNA". It matches the Rfam family "Bacterial small subunit ribosomal RNA", at positions 337 to 638 of the family's 1533-position model. The record is from RNAcentral.
UCCUACGGGGCGCAGCAGUGAGGAAUAUUGGUCAAUGGGCGGAAGCCUGAACCAGCCAAGUCGCGUGAGGGAAGAAGGCCCUGCGGGUCGCAGACCUCUUUGGACGGGGAGCAAGGCCGCCGACGUGUCGGCGGAAGGAGAGUACCCGUAGAACAAGCAUCGGCUAACUCCGUGCCAGCAGCCGCGGUAAUACGGAGGAUGCGAGCGUUAUCCGGAUUUAUUGGGCGUAAAGGGAACGCAGGCGGUCUUUUAAGUCUGAUGUGAAAGCCUUCGGCUUAACCGGAGUAGGGCCUUGGAACCUGGGG